UAGGGGGCAAGCGUUAUCCGGAUUUACUGGGUGUAAAGGGAGCGUAGACGGCAGCGCAAGUCUGGAGUGAAAUCCCGCGGCUUAACCGCGGAACUGCUUUGGAAACUGUGCAGCUGGAGUGCAGGAGGGGCAGGCGGAAUUCCUAGUGUAGCGGUGAAAUGCGUAGAUAUUAGGAGGAACACCGGUGGCGAAGGCGGCCUGCUGGACUGUAACUGACGUUGAGGCUCGAAAGCGUGGGGAGCAAA
RNAcentral lists this ribosomal RNA (245 nucleotides) under uncultured bacterium. RNAcentral describes it as "partial 16S ribosomal RNA". It matches the Rfam family "Bacterial small subunit ribosomal RNA", at positions 528 to 772 of the family's 1533-position model. The record is from RNAcentral.